Molecule: non-coding RNA, 45 nt
Filed under: Schistosoma margrebowiei
Lineage: Eukaryota; Metazoa; Platyhelminthes; Trematoda; Strigeidida; Schistosomatidae
Source: RNAcentral
AUCUAGCUGACGUUUCUCAAAUAGGACGAAACAUUCGUCCUGGAU